RNAcentral lists this long non-coding RNA (1680 nucleotides) under Dendronephthya gigantea. RNAcentral describes it as "uncharacterized LOC114532007, transcript variant X4". Lineage: Eukaryota; Metazoa; Cnidaria; Anthozoa; Malacalcyonacea; Nephtheidae. The record is from RNAcentral.
UGUUUUUAUGGUCUGUGAACAUGAAUAUAUAAAUAUGUCCCCCAACUUAUCGAUGCUGGCUACGCCGCUGCAACAGGGGAGCAGGAUGUUUCAGUUUGGAAUCGCAAAGUGAAAUGAUUUUUGCUUUCAUGCUUCGAAAUUGUUAGCGAUUAAGCCGUUGAAGACUUGAGAGAAUCGUAAGACUCGUUUUCUAAUUUCGCAGAUUUGAAAUAUUUAGAGCGCAUUAUUCGUUUGUAUUUUGAAGUCCAAAACAGGCAUCGAAAUGAAGCCUGCAGCUGAGAGUAGAAGGCGUAACACUAAUACAUGACAGUGCUUUGGCUUGAGGUAAAAGACGCAAUUUUUACGGCGCUUUGAUGAACAUUGGAGCCCAAAUUUGGCUCCAACUUGACCGAUGUUCCGAGCGUUGAAAAUUAAUCCUUUGCUUUGGCCCAGUAAAGCAACGUUUUUUUUUUAAUUUUAAUUUUAAUAGCAAAUUUUCCAUUUUAAAAGCUGCGCGUAUGGUGUCAAGCAAAAUUUCUGCCAAAGAAGAUCGCAUGCAGGUAUUUUUAGUUUCUUAGACAAAGAUCAGUGUUAAUCGCUCCCGAACCGUCGAUUCAUCGAAAGAGAAAGAUGCAAGUGUAUAAUUUUGUAAAACAUAAAAUGUUUGUCUUUAAUUUUGCGUCGUUUUAUAGGUAUGCAACAAGAUUAUGUCUGUAAGUUGCCUGCAUGUAGGUAUAAGCUUCUGUUGGAAGUAUACCUUUACUUUUAUAUUCAUUGCGCAUAUGACUUAUUAACUAAAUCCCCUCAAGGACACUACACUAUAGAAAGAAAAACAAGCUUAACUUAUAGGUUAGUAAAAUCUUUUUCUUGAUUUUGGUUUUAGAAAUAAGAAAUUGUAUAAGGAUCACAUGCGUGCAUGAGCUAAUUCAAAUAUUACUUUUGAGUUUUCAGCAAUGUAAAGGAGUGUCCUUGCAGGCGGUGGCCUUAUUGGAAGGCUUAUUUUUGGAGAAUAAAUAAAUGUAGAUUUGUAAAAUAUAUACGUUUUAUUAAUCAUAUUUUAUAUAUAUUCCUAAUUAUAUCAAAGAAGAUUGAACUGGAAUUUGGACAUGAUGAAGAAGGUAAUAUUUUUUAACAUUUAUACAGUGGAAAUAAACACAAUUAAACAGUUCAGGUUAUUGAAUAUGAUUCUCUUCUUUGAGUUGUCGUGGGAUUCUCUUUACAUAAUGGUUGUUAUUUCUUUAGCAUACUCAUACUAAUUGCUUCCUCCGCACUUUAGUAUUCAGAAUUGAUAGGUGUAAUGCUGCGUGCAUGGAUGUACUUAUACCGACGUAUAAGUUGAGUGAAAGUUGCGUGUAUAAAUCAGAUUCGUUUUGCCUGGAUCAACAAAUGGCACUAGUACGGAGUGAUAUAAGUAGUUAUUAUGCAUUUCUAUAAUAUAAUGUCAAUUGAUGUGACGGAUGUCAAUAAUUUGUGUGCGAAGCAGAAAGUUCAAAGUCAGUCGCUACUUUGGAGAAGACGUUUCUAAAAGAUAUACAGUUGAAAAUAUGUCAGAGUGAAAAUAUAUGAAAAUACGUAAGAGUUUGUUUUCCAUUCAAACAGUGGAAACGAAGCAAGGGAACCAUGAAAAGCGAGUCCUUAAACUUUUGAAGUAAAGUUUGCAGAAAAUGGCCAUACCAGUGAUACCAGCAUCCAAACAUGGCA